Molecule: ribosomal RNA, 216 nt
Filed under: Glomeromycotina sp.
Lineage: Eukaryota; Fungi; Glomeromycota
Description: partial small subunit ribosomal RNA
Rfam family: Eukaryotic small subunit ribosomal RNA (bases 40-216)
Source: RNAcentral
GCGUCAGUAGGUUGGUCGUGCCACCGGUACGUACUGGUCUCACUGAUUCCUCCUUCCUGAAGAACCGUAAUGCCAUUAAUUUGGUGUUGCGGGGAAACAGGACUGUUACUUUGAAAAAAUUAGAGUGUUUAAAGCAAGCGAACGCUUGAAUACAUUAGCAUGGAAUAAUGAAAUAGGACGAUCGAUCCUAUUUUGUUGGUUUCUAGGAUUGACGUA